RNAcentral lists this ribosomal RNA (432 nucleotides) under Stenasellus virei. RNAcentral describes it as "partial 16S ribosomal RNA". It matches the Rfam family "Archaeal large subunit ribosomal RNA", at positions 1927 to 2621 of the family's 2987-position model. The record is from RNAcentral. Lineage: Eukaryota; Metazoa; Arthropoda; Malacostraca; Isopoda; Stenasellidae.
CUUUUUAAAUAUUUAAAAUAGUCUCUGCCCAAUGAAAUUUUAAUGGCCGCAGUACUUUGACUGUGCAAAGGUAGCAUAAUCAUUUGUUUUUUAAUUGAAAACUGGAAUAAAAGAGUUGACGUAAAAUAAACUUUUUUAGAAAAUAUUUAAAUUGACAUUAAAGUCAAAAGGCUUUAAUAUAAUAGAGGGACGAUAAGACCCUGUGAAAUUUUAUUUAUUAAUAAAUCAUAAUGAGAAACUGAAAUUUAAAUGAAUUUAACUGGGGCGGUUUAUAUAUACACCUAUCUUAAUAAAAAAACAAAAAUGUUAAUUUUUAAAACCCUAAUAUGUAAAAUUUUACAAAUUACUCCAGGGAUAACAGCACAAUCUCACUUAAUAGUACAUAUUGACAGUGGGGUUUGUGACCUCGAUGUUGAAUUGGGGAUACUGUAA